Long non-coding RNA from Daphnia pulicaria, 130 nucleotides. RefSeq lists it as uncharacterized. The transcript has 2 exons. NCBI's taxonomy places the organism in Eukaryota, Metazoa, Arthropoda, Branchiopoda, Diplostraca, Daphniidae. The record is from RefSeq and is a predicted model, not a curated record.
GUAGGAAGCCGUUGUGUAGUAUUCAGGAGCCUUGGUGGUGUAGUAAGCAGCAGUGGUGUAUACUUGGGAGCCUCGGUGUAGUAGCUGGGAGCAGCGUAGGUCGUAGUGCUGUAGUAAGGUGCUGGAGUAG